AUUGAACGCUGGCGGCAGGCCUAACACAUGCAAGUCGAGCGGAGCGGCGGACGGGUGAGUAAUGCCUAGGAAUCUGCCUGGCAGUUGGGGAUAACGUCCGGACACGGGCGCUAAUACCGCAUCCUAUUUGAUGACCCUAGGUGGGAUUAGCUAGUUGGUGGGGUAAAGGCCUACCAAGGCGACGAACCGUAACUGGUCUGAGAGGAUGAUCAGUCACACUGGAACUGAGACACGGUCCAGACUCCUACGGGAGGCAGCAGUGGGGAAUAUUGGACAAUGGGCGAAAGCCUGAUGCAGCCAUGCCGCGUGAGGGAAGAAGGUCUUCGGAUUGUAAAGCACUUUAAGUUGGGAGGCGUUACCAACAGAAUAAGCACCGGCUAACUUCGUGCCAGCAGCCGCGGUAAUAC
This 407-nucleotide ribosomal RNA is filed under the name uncultured bacterium. Its description in RNAcentral is "partial 16S ribosomal RNA". It matches the Rfam family "Bacterial small subunit ribosomal RNA", at positions 30 to 526 of the family's 1533-position model. The record is from RNAcentral.